CAGCAGCCACGGUAAUACAGAGGGUGCAAGCGUUAAUCGGAUUUACUGGGCGUAAAGGGCGCGUAGGUGGUUAUGUAAGUGAGAUGUGAAAUCCCCGGGCUCAACCUGGGAACUGCAUCUUAUACUGCGUAGCUGGAGUGCAGUAGAGGGUAGUGGAAUUUCCGGUGUAGCGGUGAAAUGCGUAGAUAUCGGAAGGAACACCAGUGGCGAAGGCGGCUACCUGGACUAACACUGACACUGAGGCGCGAAAGCGUGGGGAGCAAACAGGAUUAGAGACCCCUGUAGUCCCGUCUCUUAUACA
RNAcentral lists this ribosomal RNA (301 nucleotides) under uncultured bacterium. RNAcentral's name for it is "partial 16S ribosomal RNA". It matches the Rfam family "Bacterial small subunit ribosomal RNA", at positions 509 to 808 of the family's 1533-position model. The record is from RNAcentral.